RNAcentral lists this ribosomal RNA (144 nucleotides) under Triticum aestivum (bread wheat). Its description in RNAcentral is "partial small subunit ribosomal RNA". The record is from RNAcentral. Lineage: Eukaryota; Viridiplantae; Streptophyta; Magnoliopsida; Poales; Poaceae.
AUGUUAGGCCAUGUGGUCGAUGCCUUGGGAGUACCUAUUGAUGAAAAAGGGGCUCUAAGAGAUCACAAACAAAGACGUGUCAAAGUGAAAGCCCCAGGGAUUAUUGAACAUAAAUCUGUGCACAAACCCAUGCAAACAACUUGA